GCGGCGGACGGGUGAGUAACACGUGGGUAACCUACCUAUAAGACUGGGAUAACUUCGGGAAACCGGAGCUAAUACCGGAUAACAUUUGGAACCGCAUGGUUCUAAAGUGAAAGAUGGUUUUGCUAUCACUUAUAGAUGGACCCGCGCCGUAUUAGCUAGUUGGUAAGGUAACGGCUUACCAAGGCGACGAUACGUAGCCGACCUGAGAGGGUGAUCGGCCACACUGGAACUGAGACACGGUCCAGACUCCUACGGGAGGCAGCAGUAGGGAAUCUUCCGCAAUGGGCGAAAGCCUGACGGAGCAACGCCGCGUGAGUGAUGAAGGGUUUCGGCUCGUAAAACUCUGUUAUUAGGGAAGAACAAACGUGUAAGUAACUGUGCACGUCUUGACGGUACCUAAUCAGAAAGCCACGGCUAACUACGUGCCAGCAGCCGCGGUAAUACGUAGGUGGCAAGCGUUAUCCGGAAUUAUUGGGCGUAAAGCGCGCGUAGGCGGUUUCUUAAGUCUGAUGUGAAAGCCCACGGCUCAACCGUGGAGGGUCAUUGGAAACUGGGAAACUUGAGUGCAGAAGAGGAAAGUGGAAUUCCAUGUGUAGCGGUGAAAUGCGCAGAGAUAUGGAGGAACACCAGUGGCGAAGGCGACUUUCUGGUCUGUAACUGACGCUGAUGUGCGAAAGCGUGGGGAUCAAACAGGAUUAGAUACCCUGGUAGUCCACGCCGUAAACGAUGAGUGCUAAGUGUUAGG
This 745-nucleotide ribosomal RNA is filed under the name Staphylococcus saprophyticus. Its description in RNAcentral is "bacterial SSU rRNA". It matches the Rfam family "Bacterial small subunit ribosomal RNA", at positions 95 to 827 of the family's 1533-position model. The record is from RNAcentral. Lineage: Bacteria; Bacillati; Bacillota; Bacilli; Caryophanales; Staphylococcaceae.